This 117-nucleotide transfer RNA is filed under the name Friedmanniomyces endolithicus. RNAcentral describes it as "tRNA-Ser". It matches the Rfam family "tRNA". Rfam says of the family: Transfer RNA (tRNA) molecules are approximately 80 nucleotides in length. Lineage: Eukaryota; Fungi; Ascomycota; Dothideomycetes; Mycosphaerellales; Teratosphaeriaceae. The record is from RNAcentral.
GGGCGAAUGGUCUCAACGGUAAGAUACUUGGUUGCUGAUCCUCCUGAGGAUGGCUCGUACGGCCAUCCAAUAGUGGAUCAGCCCCAAGUGAUGUUGGUUCGACUCCGACUUCGUCCA